GGGCGUAAGAGCUCGUAGGCGGCUUGUCACGUCGGAUGUGAAAACUCGGGGCUCAACCCCGAGCCUGCAUUCGAUACGGGCUAGCUAGAGUGUUGCAGGGGAGACUGGAAUUCCUGGUGUAGCGGUGAAAUGCGCAGAUAUCAGGAGGAACACCGGUGGCGAAGGCGGGUCUCUGGGCAACUACUGACGCUGAGGAGCGAAAGCGUGGGGAGCGAACAGGAUUAGAUACCCUGGUAGUCCACGCCGUAAACGUUGGGCGCUAGGUGUGGGGAACCUUCCACGUUCUCCGUGCCGUAGCUAACGCAUUAAGCGCCCCGCCUGGGGAGUACGGCCGCAAGGCUAAAACUCAAAGGAAUUGACGGGGGCCCGCACAAGCGGCGGAGCAUGCGGCUUAAUUCGAUGCAACGCGAAGAACCUUACCUAGGCUUGACAUAUACCGAAAACUCAUAGAGAUAUGGGGUCCGCAAGGGCGGUAUACAGGUGGUGCAUGGUUGUCGUCAGCUCGUGUCGUGAGAUGUUGGGUUAAGUCCCGCAACGAGCGCAACCCUCGUCCUAUGUUGCCAGCGGAUAAUGCCGGGGACUCAUAGGAGACUGCCGGGGUCAACUCGGAGGAAGGUAAU
RNAcentral lists this ribosomal RNA (620 nucleotides) under uncultured Actinomycetes bacterium. Its description in RNAcentral is "bacterial SSU rRNA". It matches the Rfam family "Bacterial small subunit ribosomal RNA", at positions 556 to 1177 of the family's 1533-position model. Lineage: Bacteria; Bacillati; Actinomycetota; Actinomycetes. The record is from RNAcentral.